GGAAGGAUCAUUCCUUUAUAAUUUUUUAACAAGUUGAACUCUUACUGUAUUUUACUAUUCUUUUUACUUUUUCUAUACAAAAAACCAAAACAACUAUUGGCAACGGAUACCUCGGUUCUCACUACGAUGAAGAACGCAGCGAAACGCGAUAAUUAGUGCGAAUUGCAGAAUUCAGUGAAUCAUCGAGUCUUUGAACGCAAGUUGCGCCUUUGGGAUAUUCCUGGGGGCAUGCCUCUUUCAGUGUCGGUUAAAAACACAAGCCCUUGCUGGUUUGGAAAAUGAGCAUCUUGUAUGUUGCUUUAAGUUUUGUUGUUAUUGUUAUAGACAAGUAAUUCUCUAUAAAUAACUCCCCUAAGAAAAGACCUGAGAGAGGUAAGAUUACCCGCUGAACUUAAGCAUAUCACUAGGCGGAGGAAAAGAAACUAAACAGGAUUUCCCCAGUAACGGCGAGUGAAAAGGAAAGAGCCCAACCCGAAAAUCUUUUUUAAGAGUUGUGGGUUUUGAAGGCAAGGUCAGUGUGGUGCCCUGGUUUAAGUGUGUUGGAAUGCACUGGCAGAGAGGGUGAGACUCCCGUUUUGGGCUAGGAUUUCCAUACGUACGACCUGUCUUUCUAGAGUAGGUUUGCUUGAGAGUGCAGACUGAAGUGGGAGGUAAAUUCCUUCCAAGGCUAAAUAUCAGUGAGAGACCGAUAGCGCACAAGUACCGUGAGGGAAAGGUGAAAAGGACUUUGAAAAGAGAGUCAAAAAGUACUUGAAAUUGUCAGUAUACAAGCGAUAGAGACUAGUGCAUGGCUGUUCCACCAUUUUACAAAAAAAGUGAGUGCAGCCAGAGUCAAGGUUAAUUUGCUCUACUAUAAAGUCUGGGUAGCCUAUUCUUUGGAAUAGUUGAUGAGACUUUUUUUUUGUUGCAGAUCCGACAUUGACGAAAUGGUCUUUAUCGACCCGUCUUGAAACACGGACCAAGGAGUCUGACGUAUGGGCAAGUCAAAGGGUGGAAAACCCCGAGGCGCAAUGAAAGUAAAUGAGGUGUGCGACUAUUUGAUAGUUACAACAUCGCCCGGCAGUUCAGUUAUGUUCUGUACGAGGUUGAGCCUGUCCGUUAGGACCCGAAAGAUGGUGAACUAUGCCUGAGCAGGGUGAAGCCAGGGGAAACUCUGGUGGAAGCUCGAAGCGAUACUGACGUGCAAAUCGUUCGUCGGACUUGGGUAUAGGGGCGAAAGACUAAUCGAACCAUCUAGUAGCUGGUUCCCUC
Molecule: unclassified non-coding RNA, 1251 nt
Filed under: uncultured fungus
Lineage: Eukaryota; Fungi
Description: sequence contains 18S rRNA gene, ITS1, 5.8S rRNA gene, ITS2, 28S rRNA gene
Rfam family: Eukaryotic large subunit ribosomal RNA (bases 360-1251)
Source: RNAcentral